Long non-coding RNA from Raphanus sativus (radish), 723 nucleotides. RefSeq lists it as uncharacterized. The record is from RefSeq and is a predicted model, not a curated record. The transcript has 2 exons. Lineage: Eukaryota; Viridiplantae; Streptophyta; Magnoliopsida; Brassicales; Brassicaceae.
UCCAAAUCGUCAGGCCAGCCCAGAUAUUAAUAAUGUCUAGCUAGGGUUAUUGUAAUUGGGGGAAAAUCAGACAUUUUGUUUUGGCCGUCAAAUUCAGGAGAGCUCGAUUCUCACCUUCUUCACCGUUGCUCUCAAGCUUCCCGUCGAAGCCGAUUUCCAAACUUCCUCUUCCUUCCUCAAGCGUUUUUCACCUCUUCCUCAAGAACUGAGGUCUUGUUCUGUCACGAAUAGACACUUAACCCUCGUUAGAACUGAGGUCUUGCUCUGUCGUGAUAUGUGUUCUGUAAGAGGAUUUGGCUUUUGGAGUUUAGUAGUUGUCAGAUUGGAAGGUUGACAGUCUAAUGCCGGAUCAGGAGAACGGUGUGUCUUUCUAGUUGGAUUAGUUUUAUCAGUUCUAUUUGAUUAUGUUCGUUUUUUCAAGAUAUGGUCUACAACCUCAAGCUAUUUAUUAGUCGAACAGAGAAGCCGAUGAGACACAUACGACAUGUUUGGUUUGUUCUUUUUCAAGUGAUAGGACACUGUUGUGUUUCUUUUACAGUCUAGAUGUGUACUCUUUUUCUCUUCGGAAAUUUAUCUAUUACCCCGCCGUAUUGGUGUGCGUGAACUUUUUUAAGUUUUUUUUUUUUUACUUGAACUGUUUAAGUUUCUUUUGUAUCCAUUAAUACCUUUAUGAUAAAUGAUAUUGUAUCGUCGAAUGACUAUAUGGAAUAAAAUUAUUUUUCA